GCCCAAUCGAUUUGCGCAUGCACCUCUAACGCAUGGGCCAACCUGGAUAAACGUGAAGAAAGAAGUAUUUGGCUCUGGACCGGGUGCAGAAAGGACCGUUGAUAAAGAUCAUCCACUUGAAAAGCCAAUCAGUAGCUCUGCCCAUCUACACCUCUAACCUGACCCUGAUAAAUGAAACCGAAAGAGACCCGCGCAGCCAAGGUGAUCCAUUACAAGACACUGAGGACUGAGUACAAGCUCUUUGAAGCCAAACAACGGCUGCUGGGGAACUUUGACAUGUUUCUUUCAAACGACCGCAUUUGCCGCCUGCUGUCUUCGCACUUCUACGAGAGAAAGACGAAAGCUUGGAGCCUUUGUCAUUGAACCAGCAGAGCAAGAAGCUGGCCUUGGACAUCCAGAGAACCAUCCAGGGAACAACAAUCUCCAUUUCUAAGAACGGCUGCUGCUGCAUGGCUUGUGUGGCCCACUCUGGGAUGGCUGCAGAUGAAAUAGCAGAGAAUAUUGAUUCAGCUGUCAGCACCAUCGUGACGAAACUACGGGUUAGAAAGGACCGUUGAUAAAGAUCAUCCACUUGAAAAGCCAAUCAGUAGCUCUGCCCAUCUACACCUCUAACCUGACCCUGAUAAAUGAAACCGAAAGAGACCCGCGCAGCCAAGGUGAUCCAUUACAAGACACUGAGGACUGAGUACAAGCUCUUUGAAGCCAAACGACGGCUGCUGGGGAACUUUGACAUGUUUCUUUCAAACGACCGCAUUUGCCGCCUGCUGUCUUCGCACUUCUACGAGAGAAAGACGAAAGCUUGGAGCCUUUGUCAUUGAACCAGCAGAGCAAGAAGCUGGCCUUGGACAUCCAGAGAACCAUCCAGGGAACAACAAUCUCCAUUUCUAAGAACGGCUGCUGCUGCAUGGCUUGUGUGGCCCACUCUGGGAUGGCUGCAGAUGAAAUAGCAGAGAAUAUUGAUUCAGCUGUCAGCACCAUCGUGACGAAACUACGGGUUAGAAAGGACCGUUGAUAAAGAUCAUCCACUUGAAAAGCCAAUCAGUAGCUCUGCCCAUCUACACCUCUAACCUGACCCUGAUAAAUGAAACCGAAAGAGACCCGCGCAGCCAAGGUGAUCCAUUACAAGACACUGAGGACUGAGUACAAGCUCUUUGAAGCCAAACGACGGCUGCUGGGGAACUUUGACAUGUUUCUUUCAAACGACCGCAUUUGCCGCCUGCUGUCUUCGCACUUCUACGAGAGAAAGACGAAAGCUUGGAGCCUUUGUCAUUGAACCAGCAGAGCAAGAAGCUGGCCUUGGACAUCCAGAGAACCAUCCAGGGAACAACAAUCUCCAUUUCUAAGAACGGCUGCUGCUGGUGAGGCCUGCUCUCUGACUUGCAUGGCUUGUGUGGCCCACUCUGGGAUGGCUGCAGAUGAAAUAGCAGAGAAUAUUGAUUCAGCUGUCAGCACCAUCGUGACGAAACUACGGGUUAGAAAGGACCGUUGAUAAAGAUCAUCCACUUGAAAAGCCAAUCAGUAGCUCUGCCCAUCUACACCUCUAACCUGACCCUGAUAAAUGAAACCGAAAGAGACCCGCGCAGCCAAGAAAAAUGCACGCAAACAGAAGUCUGCAAAGAAGGAACAGAAGUCUACAGAAAAAAAACUCUGGUGCUGACGGAGGAAGAUGUUCCCAUAGUAACGACAAGGAAAAAGGCUAAAGUGGAGAAGCCGACCAAGAAGGGACUUGUGAAGGUACUCAAACCAACAGGAGGAAAGGUAUAAAAUAAAAAAUGACCAAGAAGGCUGCAAAAAUACCCUAACAAAAUAUGAAAAGUACCUAAAUCUUAAUGUCUGUCAACUCAGUGGAACACAACUCUCCUUUCUCUUCUCAUUACUAUCUGUGUAUUACUCCGCCUUUCUCUAAAUGGAACUCUGACUUCAUACUGAUAUAAAGGACUGGUUCUAAAUGUAUAUAAACUGUCAGCGUUAAUUGAUCCAAGGACAAACUCAAAUGUGUUGCAAAUCUUUGUCUGCCCCAUAAAAGGGUAUUGUUCAAAAUCAUCUUUUGUAUAAACCCAACUUGUAAAUUAAAAUAUUACCACAAAGUAUA
Long non-coding RNA from Salvelinus fontinalis (brook trout), 2092 nucleotides. RefSeq lists it as uncharacterized. The transcript is spliced from 16 exons. Lineage: Eukaryota; Metazoa; Chordata; Actinopteri; Salmoniformes; Salmonidae. The record is from RefSeq and is a predicted model, not a curated record.